Molecule: ribosomal RNA, 468 nt
Filed under: uncultured bacterium
Lineage: Bacteria
Description: partial 16S ribosomal RNA
Rfam family: Bacterial small subunit ribosomal RNA
Source: RNAcentral
GACGAACGCUGGCGGCGUGCUUAACACAUGCAAGUCGAACGGACAGGCCCUGCUUUUGUGGGGUGCUCGAGUGGCGAACGGGUGAGUAACACGUGAGUAACCUGCCCUUGACUUUCGGAUAACUUCAGGAAACUGCGGCUAAUACCGGAUAGGAGCUCCUGCUGCAUGGUGGGGGUUGGAAAGUUUCGGCGGUGGGGGCUGGACUCGCGGCUUAUCCGCUUGUUGGUGGGGUAGUGGCUUACCAAGGCUUUGACGGGUAGCCGGCCUGAGAGGGUGACCGGCCACAUGGGGACUGAGAGACGGACCAGACGCCUACGGGAGGCAGCAGUGGGGAGUAUUGCACAGUGGGCGGAAGCGUGAUGUAGCAACGCCGCGUGCGUAAUGACGGCCUUCGAGUUGUAAACCGAUUUCUCCUGUGACGAAGCGUGAGUGACGGUAAUGGGUAAAGAAGCACCGGCUAACUACGUG